AGCGAACGCUGGCGGCGUGCUUAACACAUGCAAGUCGAGUGCGUAGCCCUUUGUAGCAAUACAGAGGGUGGGCGCACGGCGCACGGGUGAGUAACACGUGGGUAACCUGCCCUUCGUGGGGAAGUAACCCGCGAAAGACGGGGCGUAAUUCCGCAUAACAUUCCGGGGACACAUGUUCUCGGACUCAAAGGAGUGAUUCGCCGGAGGAGGGGCCC
This 215-nucleotide ribosomal RNA is filed under the name uncultured bacterium. RNAcentral's name for it is "partial 16S ribosomal RNA". It matches the Rfam family "Bacterial small subunit ribosomal RNA", at positions 29 to 232 of the family's 1533-position model. The record is from RNAcentral.